UACGUAGGGUGCAAGCGUUAAUCGGAAUUACUGGGCGUAAAGCGUGCGCAGGCGGUGAGGUAAGACAGAUGUGAAAUCCCCGAGCUCAACUUGGGAACUGCAUUUGUGACUGCAUCGCUGGAGUGCGGCAGAGGGGGAUGGAAUUCCGCGUGUAGCAGUGAAAUGCGUAGAUAUGCGGAGGAACACCGAUGGCGAAGGCAAUCCCCUGGGCCUGCACUGACGCUCAUGCACGAAAGCGCGGGGAGCAAACAGG
This 253-nucleotide ribosomal RNA is filed under the name uncultured bacterium. RNAcentral's name for it is "partial 16S ribosomal RNA". It matches the Rfam family "Bacterial small subunit ribosomal RNA", at positions 524 to 776 of the family's 1533-position model. The record is from RNAcentral.